RNAcentral lists this ribosomal RNA (453 nucleotides) under Triticum aestivum (bread wheat). Its description in RNAcentral is "partial small subunit ribosomal RNA". Lineage: Eukaryota; Viridiplantae; Streptophyta; Magnoliopsida; Poales; Poaceae. The record is from RNAcentral.
AUGGAGCUGGAUGACGUGAUCGUUGGCGAUGAGGAAAUUGCAGAACUGUCCAAGGAGUCCCGGUGGCUAGCGGUAGCACGGGUGAACACGACGAAGUACUUCAGUGCCGAGUCCUUCAAGAACACAAUGAUUUUCGCAUGGAGACUUGCCCACGAGCCAGAUAUCCGCGAGGCAGAUAACAAUCUGUUCGUCGUCCAACUUUUCUGCUUAGGAGAUUGGAACAGAGUUAUGCACCAGGGCCCUUGGAUCUAUAGGGGACUUAUGGUGGCAAUUGAAGAGUAUGACGGCAAAGGUAAACCAGAUCUAGUUCAGCUCGACCGAGUCCAUGUGUGGGCGCAGAUUCAUGAUACCCCGGAGCUCUACAGGAAGGAGAUAAUUGUAGACCAACUGGCUCGUCGCAUAGGUCAGGUGAAGAGCGUGGAGAUGAACCCUAACCGAGUCUUUGAAGGCAAC